Non-coding RNA from Phrynosoma platyrhinos (Desert horned lizard), 72 nucleotides. The record is from the annotation of a GenBank genome assembly. Lineage: Eukaryota; Metazoa; Chordata; Lepidosauria; Squamata; Phrynosomatidae.
GCUAGUGUGGUGUAGUGGUUUGAGUGCUGGACUAGAAAUCUGGAAAACAGGGUUCAAAUUCCUACUUAGUCA